RNAcentral lists this ribosomal RNA (301 nucleotides) under uncultured bacterium. Its description in RNAcentral is "partial 16S ribosomal RNA". It matches the Rfam family "Bacterial small subunit ribosomal RNA", at positions 509 to 809 of the family's 1533-position model. The record is from RNAcentral.
CAGUCGCCGCGGUAAAACGUAGGUGGCAAGCGUUGUCCGGAAUUAUUGGGCGUAAAGCGCGCGCAGGCGGAUCAGUCAGUCUGUCUUAAAAGUUCGGGGCUUAACCCCGUGAUGGGAUGGAAACUGCUGAUCUAGAGUAUCGGAGAGGAAAGUGGAAUUCCUAGUGUAGCGGUGAAAUGCGUAGAUAUUAGGAAGAACACCAGUGGCGAAGGCGACUUCCUGGACGAAAACUGACGCUGAGGCGCGAAAGCCAGGGGAGCAAACAGGAUUAGAUACCCGCGUAGUCCCUGUCUCUUAUACA